AAGACUCUACUUUCAGGGAUCAUUUCUUUAGUUUGGAACUAGAGGAUUGUGUUUCUACAGAGGUUGGUCUUGCUGUCCAUGAUGAUGAAUGAAGAUGUUUCCUUCAGAGCAGGAAGCCGGUGAGAAGAUGAGAAUCUUCUUCACUGAUGAAGACUGUUCAGUGUUUCUGGAUGUGACACUGAAGGAGGAAACAUUGUCUGAGUGGAC
Small nucleolar RNA from Oryzias sinensis (Chinese medaka), 207 nucleotides. Lineage: Eukaryota; Metazoa; Chordata; Actinopteri; Beloniformes; Adrianichthyidae. The record is from Ensembl.